UCCCUGACAGUCCAGUGGUUAGGACUUUCACUGCAGUGGCCCAGGUUCAAUCCCUGGUUGGGGAA
RNAcentral lists this transfer RNA (65 nucleotides) under Bos taurus (domestic cattle). It matches the Rfam family "tRNA". From Rfam's summary of the family: Transfer RNA (tRNA) molecules are approximately 80 nucleotides in length. Their secondary structure includes four short double-helical elements and three loops (D, anti-codon, and T loops). Further hydrogen bonds mediate the characteristic L-shaped molecular structure. tRNAs have two regions of fundamental functional importance: the anti-codon, which is responsible for specific mRNA codon recognition, and the 3' end, to which the tRNAs corresponding amino acid is attached (by aminoacyl-tRNA synthetases). tRNAs cope with the degeneracy of the genetic code in two manners: having more than one tRNA (with a specific anti-codon) for a particular amino acid; and 'wobble' base-pairing, i.e. permitting non-standard base-pairing at the 3rd anti-codon position. Lineage: Eukaryota; Metazoa; Chordata; Mammalia; Artiodactyla; Bovidae. RNAcentral also lists the same sequence under 5 other names. The record is from Rfam by way of RNAcentral.